UAAGAGGGGAUUUCCCCAUAGUUAACGGGCGAGUGAAGCGGGAAGAGCUCAAAUUUGUAAUCUGGCACUUUCAGUGUCCGAGUUGUAAUCUCGAGAAGUAUUUUCCGCGCCGGACCGCAUACAAGUCUGUUGGAAUACAGCGUCAUAGUGGUGAGAACCCCGUAACUGAUGCGGAUGCCCGGUGCUUUGUGAUAUACUUUCGAAGAGUCGAGUUGUUUGGGAAUGCAGCUCAAAUUGGGUGGUAAAUUCCAUCUAAAGCUAAAUAUUGGAGCAAGACCGAUAGCGAACAAGUACCGUGAGGGAAAGAUGAAAAGCACUUUGGAAAGAGAGUUAACAGUACGUGAAAUUGUUGGAAGGGAAACGCUUGAAGUCAGACUUGCUAUUCGGAGUUCAGCCGCAAGGUGUAUUCUUCGAUUUGCAGGCCAGCAUCAGUUUUUGGGGGUGGAAAAUCGUGGUUUGAAGGUAGCAGUUUCGGCUGUGUUAUAGCUUUCCACUGGAUUCAUCUUCGGGGACUGAGGAACGCAGUACGCUUUUUGCAAGGCUCUCGAGCUUUUCGUACUUAGGAUGCUGGUGGAAUGGCUUUAAACGACCCGUCUUGAACCACGGACCA
RNAcentral lists this ribosomal RNA (610 nucleotides) under Leucosporidium scottii. RNAcentral describes it as "eukaryotic LSU rRNA". It matches the Rfam family "Eukaryotic large subunit ribosomal RNA", at positions 66 to 668 of the family's 3401-position model. Lineage: Eukaryota; Fungi; Basidiomycota; Microbotryomycetes; Leucosporidiales; Leucosporidiaceae. The record is from RNAcentral.